RNAcentral lists this long non-coding RNA (539 nucleotides) under Chrysolophus pictus (golden pheasant). Its description in RNAcentral is "lncRNA (ENSCPIG00010010509.1)". The record is from RNAcentral. Lineage: Eukaryota; Metazoa; Chordata; Aves; Galliformes; Phasianidae.
UUGGCUAUUUAUGAUCCAUCACCUUUUAAAAACCUGUGGAGAAGCCAGCGUGGGCCCAUGUUAAUGCCUCUUUCUUGUGUUGCUGUUGGCUUUUAGCACGUCUGGAGUGAGAGUGAGGACUGCUUACCUUUUCUGCAGCUCGCGCAGGAUUACAUCUCUUCCUGUGGGAAAAAGACACUCCAUGAAAUACUGGAAAAAGUCUUCAAAUCCUUCAGACCUCUACUUGGGCUUCCAGAUGUUGAUGAUGAUGCGUUUGAAGAAUAUAAUGCAGAUAUGGAAGAAGAGGAACCAGAAGCGGAUCACCAGCAAAUGGGUAGAAAAGGAAGAUUGCUGCUAUCACCAACGUCCAUGCUAACUUUGCAGGCAGAUGAAAAUUCCUGAAAUGCUGCAUGAUUUCACCAACCUGUACUGCUGCAUAAAGAACUCCUGAAGGUGUCCUGGUGAAGCUUUUUCCUUCUGUCUUCUUCCUGCAUUGCUUGAAGGCACCACAUUUCCCUUUAGAAAAUAAACAUGUCACGUACUUAGGAAUUUAUUCUGCC